UGUAUCUUCUGGGUCCAGUCUUCGUUGAUGUGCAGACUCCUCUUCCCACUGGGCCUGGAUGGGCAGGCAUCAGAGGUGAAAUCCAGUUCCCCACUUGUGGCCUUUAUGGCCUGUGCACCUCUGUCCUUCAGAAGUCUUCCCCGGACACCAGGGGUGCGAAGGUCCUCUUGUGUGUCACCCUCCGGAAGGUUAAGCAUCCUCCCUUUUCACUUGGAAGCCUACAGUCUUCUGGAGCUGAGUGCUGUGUCUGGAUGUCACCAUCACACACAGGAAACUACCUGCUGGGGCUGUUUCUGAACUCUUCCAUGAGCCUGUCCCUGUCCCUUUAGGCACCAUCUGGCAAAGCUUGUGCUAGUACCAUGCUGGCUCAGUUGCUGACACUUGCAGUGUAAGCCUUGCAACUUUCCUUUUUUUAGAAGAUCAUAUUGGUUUUUGCUGGCCCUUUGUGUUUCAUGUAAAAUAUAGAGC
RNAcentral lists this long non-coding RNA (468 nucleotides) under Heterocephalus glaber (naked mole-rat). Its description in RNAcentral is "lncRNA (ENSHGLG00100040075.1)". Lineage: Eukaryota; Metazoa; Chordata; Mammalia; Rodentia; Bathyergidae. The record is from RNAcentral.